CGUACAAUCUUAUCAAGCUUCCAUUCUAACAGUAUACCUCAUUGUAUCUUUACACUGUCUUUAGAUCUUGAAAACACUAAACCUUAACUUCCUCUAGCCGUCAAAACACACACCUCUUUUGUCUCAUUCCUUGUUCUUUCAAGUUUCCGGCAGCCCUCCGGUGCCACCACCCUCCUCACGCUUCCGCUACAACCUGGAAUAACUCACCGACCAUUCCUUCCUCCGUUAACCUUCUCUACCUCUGUUUUUCUUCAUAAAACAACCAACGCACACGUGUCUUUGCUCAAGAAAAAGGUAACAGAUAUCCUACUUUUCAAACCCUAAUCUAGCCACCGCCAUCGCACCAUUCAUUAGUCACCAACUUCUUCUCUCUCUUAAUCUCUCGAUCUCUCUUCCUCAAUUUCUUUAGUCUAAAUCACCAUCGCCACCUGACCAAUAGAAAAUACAAUGUACAGAUGUUACACUUGUGUCUCUGCUCAAGGAAAUGGUAAUGAAGAUGUAACUUUUGAAGCCCUAAUCUAGCCACCUACCAUCGCACAAAUCAUCAGUUGACAGCAUAUUCUCUCUCUCUCUCUCUCUCUCUCUCUCUCUCUCUCUCAGACAAAUGGACUUCGACGACCACCACUGUCAUCUUCUGGUGCUUACAUUUAUCCCCAUUAAUGAGAAAUGUAAAUGAGGCUUAGCGUUAUCCAGGUUAAUUAUUCUCCUUUCUCUAUCUACUCAAAGUCGAUGUAAUUCGCAUUUCCCAUCAAUUUCAAGGAUACCAAAGCUUUCAAUCCCGAUAGGGAUUUUGGUAAAAUGCUUUCAUCUUUUCAAAAUUGGGUUUUAAUCAACAAGAAUCGAUCUAGAACUAAGAUAAAUGGUGUGGUUGUUUUUAUUUAAUACGGUUUUUUAGUACACUUGCUCUAAAUUUCUUCCUGUUGUUGUCAAUUUUUGUUACUGCCUCCAAAGACAGGUCAUUUCCACCAAGGGGAAUGGUUUUGGUGCUUAUAUUUCUUCUUGAUGCAACAUGUCCAACAAAACAAGGUGAUCAAACAAGUCCUAAUGAAUGCCUAACUGAGGCUUUAAGGCCAACUGUUCACUCUUUCUACAAAUUCUUAACAACUUCAGACAUAUUGGACGUGACACAAAAAACUCCUACUCAGGGGGUAACAGGAAAAAUCUUCAUGGAACUGAGUGGCAAUUUAAUAUACAAGGAGGGUCAGUUCAGCAGACAGUAGCCAAACAUAAGUAUGCAUCGAAAAACCCAGUCCUUCCAUGAUAAGAAGACGUAGUGACCAUGUUGUAAAAGGAUAUUGAAAGCCUGUCUUAAGAGCCUAUGUAUGCUUGGGAUGGUGAAACACAUCACAGUGUUGGAAGAACUAUUGAGAUAGAAAGUGAUGGUCUCCUGAUAAUUGAGAUUCCAAACCAUGGCAAGCUGAUCCUUUUGACAUGGAAAAACUAGAGGACUUUAAGGUAAAUCAACAAACACAUCUUUCAAAUUUUUUUAAGGGAAUUUUAUGUUCUUUAACAAAUAUGACUUAUGAGCAAAUUAUCUGAUAUGGAAUGGAAGGUUAGAGAUUGGUUGAGAGUUAAGGCUUCUGUGUCCUCAAUACAGGUGGGAGGACAUAACCAGGAAUAAUAUUAGGUUCAUCCACAGUUUAGAGGAAGAUGGUGACAUGGGAAUUGCCUUAUGCUUAAGAAGGCUCUAAUAUUCUAACUUUUUUUUGAGGAUAUUUCAGAAACUUAUCAGCGAUGAGGCUCUUUGGUGGAAAUGCAAAAGUAAAUUGCUAUUUAUUGAAGCCGUGAAUCUAUGAAUUUGAGUAUAGUAGGAUGUUUUGGUAAUUAUAACAUAAUACUUUGAAUAUGUUAAUAUGAGUAUAUUCGAUUGGUUUAAUAAUUCCUAAAAUACUGAAGUAGGUUGUUAUUGUUUAACUCUCAAUACAUUACUUUUUCUUGCAUUUGACCUCAUCGGAGAAAUGAAAGUAUUUUGAUUUUAUCUUGCACACACAAAUCCUAUGGUAGCCUUGGGCUAUAAAGUAAUAGAGUAGAAGCAUCUACUAAAAUUUAAUAAAUCAUUUAUAAAGAAUUGGGAACAUAUGAUUUAUUAGUUUUUUUAAUUUUAUUUCAUGGAUUAAUGUUUAUUUCUCUUUUUAGGUAUGUGUUGAUCAUAAUGAUGUUGAUCUUGACAGUGAACCAUGCUUAUUGGUGAAAGAUACAAAUUAUACAUGUUUGAAACAUAGUUGGAAGCCUCUCCUAAUUGGAGACCAUAUUUGGACGAUUUUUGCUCCUAAUGUUGUUUUGUCCCAGAUGUUAAAGUUGGUUAAUUUCGUUCUUCUGUUGCUUUGCCUCACUCAAUUGGAGAUCAUUUGGGACCUUUCUUCCGAUGGGGUGGUUGCAUGAUAAAUAUAUGUCCUUUUAAAUGGUGUUGUGUUCCCUGUUCUAGAAAAUCAUAAUUCUUAAAUGUUUUUUUUAAUAUUUCUGUACUUGGUCAAUCCUCUUUCCUGUUAAAAAAACUUAUUUAUGGUGAGGUUGUUGCCAAUUUGCAUA
Non-coding RNA from Lactuca sativa (garden lettuce), 2529 nucleotides. Lineage: Eukaryota; Viridiplantae; Streptophyta; Magnoliopsida; Asterales; Asteraceae. The record is from RefSeq and is a predicted model, not a curated record.